RNAcentral lists this ribosomal RNA (251 nucleotides) under uncultured prokaryote. Its description in RNAcentral is "partial 16S rRNA". It matches the Rfam family "Bacterial small subunit ribosomal RNA", at positions 525 to 775 of the family's 1533-position model. The record is from RNAcentral.
ACGUAGGGGGCGAGCGUUAUUCGGAAUUACUGGGUGUAAAGGGUAUGUAGGCGGCCCUUCAAGUCGCGUGUCAAAGUCCAGUGCUCAACGCUGGGCGUGCACGCGAUACUGACGGGCUUGAGUGCUGCAGAGGUGAGCGGAAUUCCCGGUGUAGUGGUAAAAUGCGUAGAGAUCGGGAGGAACACCAGCGGCGCAGGCAGCUCACUGGACAGUUACUGACGCUAAGAUGCGAAAGCGUGGGUGGCAAACAG